AAAGCAAUCUGCUUGUUUCCUUUACAUUUGUUAAGUUGGCACUGAAUAAUUAUAACUUUGUAUAAUAAAUAUCGCCACCUUUAUGUAGGUGUGUCUUACGUAACAGAUACUUAAGCAGCAGUUACAGCAGUGACGUGCUUUUACAUUUCCUAUAAAUAGUAUGGCUCAUUUGAUUUUUUUGUUCUGCCAUCAUCUGAGUGCACAAGUUGCCCAACCUGAACGAAGAUCAAGUGGUCAACCAGAUACAAAAGCAAACACUGGAGUUUCUGCAUUCUUUGGUCCAAAUUUGGCUCCCAAGUUGCCUGUCUAUUUUUUUAAGGUAAGGCUCAUAGUAAAGAGAGAUGUCAAUACCAUGAUUUUACACAUUCUACUGUACACUAAGGGCGUGUUCACACUUGGGCAGAAUACUUGAGUCUGCACCUAGGACCAGUUUUGGGUCGGUUCAGGGAAGGACUCAAAAUCCCAAAUUUGUUCCCAUUUUUAAGGAUUACUUCCAAACUAUGGCUCGAUUACACAAUUCCGCAUAACAUCUGAGGAAGCAAGUUUACAUAAUGAUAAGCAAUAAUGUCAGUUUCUUCUUCUUUAAAUUGUUCAUUCAUUUCUUGUUUUGAAGGUCACUUCAAAGUAAGAACGCUAUCUAAUUUGCCAUUCCAUUUUAAUAGUGUCUUCUGUUGAGCAUCACACGUUUCUCAGUGAAAUUCACACUUUACCCUGACACUUAAAAAUGAACAUUAAAAGAACUGAUUGGCCUUUUUGUGACUACUAUUGGAGCUACAGGGAUCCUGUGUUCUAAAACUGACGAUAGAUUUCUAUAAUCUCCUCAUCUUCUAUCAUUUCUUUAUCUCCUACGGAACUCCUAUGGAACCCAAUUAUCUCGGUUCCAUCAGUAGCUUUCUAGACAUAUUAACUCCCACACUGUCCACGCCUGAUCUGUUGCUCAGUCUGGCACUAACCUCUCAGUCAAUUGCCGAAUUUAUAAUGCCCCUAUAUUGGCAAAUACUGUGCUCUGUAGAUGGCUGAGUUUGCAAAAUUAGCUGAACUGAACAUUCAUACAGAGCUGGAGUUGGGUUUCAUUCAACGUCUGUGUAUCCGUGUUAUUGGGGCCUCCUCUGACACCACGGCUGUUAUUACAAAGCUUUGAGUAGACGCCCUGUGUCUAAGCGUGUUGCUGCUUGAAGAUUAAUUAUUAACAACAGUCUGGAGUUGAGCCAAGUUUUCUCAGCUACUCCCUCAUUCUUUUGGCUGAGCAAGAGACAGAUAAUUAAUUACAUAUUCACAUUCUAUUAAGCUAUCACUAAAACAGAAAGGGGUUAGCUUUCACAUCACCUGCCAUCUGACUACUAGGGUAGGCAAAAAUUAUUGUAAAACCAGGAACCAAAUGAACUGUUGUUAUCAGCCCUGGCCACAGGGAAUAACAGUGUGCCACAGUGUAAAUAUGAUAUUGAGAACAUUUAAGGAGGUUUGUAGAACCUCUACUGCAAAAUACUUGAACUCUGUGGUAUGCACCUUAGCUAACCUAAUGGAUUGUGAACAGGUCUGGCUGAGUACUUGCCUACUGUUGACACUUGGAUCACAUCACUCUUGGUUUCACUGUAUAAAGCACUAAUUCCUAUUUCCUAGGUCAGCCCACUACUUUGUGGGAUGACCUCCAAAAGAUGCUCCCACAUCAUGAAAGAGCACGGUGGAGCCCAUCUAAGAAAGACAGGGGCUGCUGGCAGGACACUUUACUCAUUGGAUCAUUGGGCAAUUACUACUUCAGACCAGUGGGUCCUCUUGACAAGUUUGUGGGAGUGUAAACUGUUGGCUCCAGCCUUCAAGGCUGAGUGUUUGGCCAAUUUCCAGUCCAAUCAAUUUGCCACUCUGCUCCAAUAAGUUACUUUUCUCUUGGGGAGAGUCACAAUCAAAAAAGUAGACCCUACUCUCAGAACAAAGGGUAUGUUCUAUAGCUCCACAUACUUUCAAGUUUAGAAGAGAGGCUUUAUGUAUGGUAAUUGUAUCAGAUAUUAUUUGUGUUGUGUAGCCACAAGACUAGGUCACAUCUGUACGAUACAUAUUUUCAUGUCCCUGUUCCUCUGCAUAUGCGUUUGGAGGUAUGCAUUUCAGAGACAGGUAUUCCAUAUCCUACCCUUUGUCCUCACUCUAGCAUCACACGUCUUCUGGAGAUUGUAGGUCACACACAUGGUGCUCAGUCUCAUAGUGAACUGGAAAAGAUCCCUAGUACUCCACACAUAAUCUGAAGCACCCCGCACAUAAUCUUAACGUAAUCUACUAGAGACAAUAAUUUCAGAAUAAGUCAGAAUAUAAUCAAGUCUAAUAAUUUUUUUUUGUGAAGGUAGGAACAUAUCCAAAUCUAACAAUACUAACAAUAAUAAGAAGAAAGAAUGACAGUCAUCAUUACUCAACAUUACCACUCAAAUUCAAACAUAAUAAUACAACAUAAGAAAAUCAAACUUGCAUACCUGAUAGAGAAAAACUACACACAGCAACUGUGUGGGAGAUCUGCCUACAGAUUCCCCAAAUCUUUGGCCAGCUCUCCCCUAAAUACCCAGAUACUCUGUAGGUCCACCAAAUGGUGUUGUUUGUGGUUAGAAUUGGAAUUUAGGCCAGUCUGUGGAAGGAUGUAUCUUAUUUACAUACAGGAGGUAAUUUAGGUGAAGGACCUGGGGAAGGUAUGCCUUUAACGUCAUGCAAUAUUUUUCUCUAGAUCUUAUGUAGUGAUUUAAACUGCUGAAUGAGACCAUAUUUUCCAGAUGCACUGAGACCUUUUGAAUGAUGCUAAACAUGUAUAGUUAAUUACAUGACAACAUUAAACAUAUUAUGUAAUGCAUACAGACCUUGUGUGAGUUUAAGGUGAUCUCAAUACAGAGAGAGAGAAGGGUGUGGAAAGAGAGGAAUAAGGAAACAAUGUAGUGAUGUGCGAUCUUCUCGUCUCCACUCAGUGUGAUGUGUUUUCUCAGGUGAAGCUGCUAAUUCUGAGGGCGAGAGUUCAAGUGUUAAUUCCUGUAAGAGUCCUUUUUCCUCAGAGAGCAGUUCUCUCCAGGUUCAGAUAUCUUGGCACCAGCCUUACACACAGCAGACCUGCACUAAUAGCAGAUGGAAAUGUCCAGGUGGCACCAGCAAGCAGCUUUUGAUUCUGUGCUGGUAAGGCAGUGGACAUUAAUUAGGCUAAAAUGCAGAAAUAUUCCUGGAGUAAAGGCCAGAGUACAUUUUGUACAUAUUGUACAAAUAUCUAAUUUUGGAUAUUUACUGGUGUCAUAAACUUGUGCUGCAUAAGCAUAUUUGUUAUUGUUCUAGCUCAUGUUGGUAAAAUUCUGUCAUUAGCCAAACAAAUUCUUCAAUUUCUUAAAUAAUUGUGAAGAUUUGGUGCAUGGGAAAAGAGUAAAAGAUUUGUGGAAUCACACUGUCUGUGAAGAGUGGUGCCAGCUGAAAAUGUCAGUGCAUGGUGAGCCUGUAAAUUCAUGCCUGAAUAAAGAUUUAUAAUUUAGGAUGAAUGAGGAGGCUUUAAGAGUAAUCCUGAAAUUCAUACAGGCUGACAUUGUGUAACGCCCAUAUCGAUUCCAGUUUUAUGCUAUAAUUAUAAACUAUAAAAUAAAUAGAGAGAGAAAAGAAGAUGUACUCCAGCACAGAAUCAUCAUCAUCAUCAUAAUCAUAAGCACAACAUUUCUACAGUUUCCAUUAGUAUCUUUAUUAGUAUUAGUAGUAGAAUCAUUUUUUUUCAGUGUACACAUUAUGCUGUACAUUAAUACGAUAAAAUGUAUUAGGAAGUUCUUAUUUUUUCUUUUUUGAAUUGAAUGUCAAGAACACAUGCAUAUUGUGCACAAAUGUGUUUGUCUACUCUGUUUUCCUUUCCCCUUAAAACUGAUACUGUAUAUGAGGGAAAAAAAAAGAAAAAGAAAAGAAAAAAAAAGAGCAAAAGCAGUUGCAAGCUCUUUUUUCUUUGUAAAAUUGUAUGCCAUGAAAAUGGACAUAUACCUAGAAAAUAUUCUAUGGGAGAUAAUUUACCAAACUGUUACUAAACGUGAUGUGAUUAACUUACUAUGCACAAUAUUUCCACUAUGUACAAUAAUUCCUGUAGAAUUAACUGAAGCCUUAUUUCUUGAGUUCUUAAAUAUGUAUUUGGUCAUUUCUUUCAUUUGUCUACCAGCUGACCGCUGAACACAAGGUAUGUUUCCAACAAGGUUAAUCUGUAUUAAAUAGUACUUAUUAUGGGAUUGAUAUUUGAGAUUGAGGAUUCUUUUAAACGUACAACACAUAACACACAUUAGACAGAUAUCAUGUAAUAUAUUAUAUAAUCUAAUGUAAUUGUUUUAAAUUGUGUACUUUAUUUGCAGACGUUCAAUCAUUAAUAAUGACAAUGCAAGCAGAACAGAAAAGCCUCUUUUUUGUCACCUGGAACACAAAUGGUAUUAAAAAUACCAAGAAGGUGACUUAAUGAAAUGCUAGUCCACUGCAGGGCACCAUGCACACACACACAUGCACAUGCGCACACACACAUUCAAAAGCAAUUUAGUGCAGCCAGUUCAUCUACCUGAAUAUUUUGGACAGUGGAAGAAAACUGGAUAAUUAGAAGGAAACCCACACAAACACAGGGAUGUGAACACAUGAAACGUAACACAGACAGUAACCUGAGCUCAGGAUUGACACAGGGAUAGUUGGCAACACUAUCCAGUGAACCAGCAACAACAGCAUCAUAUUGCGCCCUUGGUGCUUUGGCCCUAAUGAUGCUAACCAUACAAAGUGCUUAAAAUGAUCAUGAGUUUCCUCAAGGCCUCCUGACAUGAAGGAGUAUCUAGCACACCCUUGCCUGUGACCUCACAUGACACUGCCUGAGUUCUGCACUAAAUUCUAUGUUUGUGUGUACAUUAGAAGUGAGAGCAGUUGAAUCAACUAUAUAGUAAGUAAUUAAAGUUGUGGCAAUAACUCUUCAUCAUCAUCAUCAUCUAUUGAGUUAAAUUUUCUGAAAAGCAGGAUGGAAAACUUGACUUGAGAAUUAGAAUCAAAUAGAUGAAAAAGUACAAUUUUGUGUUAGAAUGAAGCCCUGAAUGGACAUCUGGUAUUUUCCUUCAAAUAUGUUUUAUAAAUUAAUUUAUAGGUAAAGAAGCACAUUUAAAAGUGAUUUGAAUGUAGAGUGUUGUAUGUAUUAUGUAAUGAAAUCAAAGUUCUUCUGUGGAACUCAAUUUGUCCAUUUAUUAACCCCAUCCUCAAUCUGGCUCUCAGGAAGCUACAAGAUCUGAUUCUCAAAACUGACACAGUUCUCGACUAGUGUUUUCUUUAACAGAUAUGUACUUUAAUUUUGUGCCUUAUUUUCACAGGGAAUCCAGAAUUUGUCUUUCACAUAGGUUAGAUCUGACAAUGCAAAAGAAAAAGAUUUCUCAUGUUUCCAUAUGUAUGAAGGCAGUUUGACUGUAUUGAUUGUCUGCAUGGGAGUUGGAAGCAGGGACUAAACAUGAGAAGAAAACUGGAUGUGGACAUUUAGAUCAGUCUGUGUCUAAGGAUUACCGUCAUAACAUGCUGUGAGCAGUAGCUGUUCUGAGGUCAACAGUGAGGACUUAAAUGUGAUCAAACAAACCUACAUGUAAUUUGUUGUUCCAAACUUGACUUUACAUGACUUUACUUUUUACAAAUUGUAAAAACGUGCACAGAUUUGUACAGAGACAUGAGAUUUGUAGUAGCAUUUAUUAGUUAACAAAGUGUUUAAUUGUUUAUUAUUAUUAUUGUUUAUUGUUUUAUUGAACACAUCAUUUCCAUAGUGUUUAGUGUUCAAAAACACACAUGUUCCCAAGCUAGCUUAGUUUUAGGUCUUUAGAGGGUUUUUAACACUACAGACAUCAUUUAAAAUAGAGCUGAGCUCAUGCAAAUGGUGCACAAAUAAGUGUACAUGUGCACCAAGCUGCUUUCUGUUUUUCACUUUCAUUUCUCUUGCUUUGUAAGUAGGAGCAAAAAGAAAACAAAAUCUUUCCAUAAUCGCCAACUUUUGCUGUAAAUCCUAGGGAACAGAUAUUUACAACAUCCGUGACAUGUUUUCCUGUUUAAAAUGCUUCCACUUUUUUUUUCAUGUUCCUGUAAAUCAUGUGACUAAUUGGAUUCUUCAUCUGGCACACUUCAUUUCUGCAACCAGCUGAGUGCACAAGUUGCCCAACCUGACCUAAGAUCAAGUGAUCAAGUGAUCAACCAGCAACAACAACAACAACAACAACAACAACAACAACAACAACAACAACAACAAACACAGGUGACUGCUGACACAAGGCUUCCAGCCAGAGGUUUAAUCAAAAAUGACAUCAAACGCUGAAACAAACCUCUGUUUUGUCUCCUGGAACACAAAUGGUAUUAAAAAAAGAUUGUAAAAAUAUUGGACGUUCUCUGUAACCUUCAAGCUGAUAUUGUUUUUCUACAAGAAACACAUGUUGGGCCAACAACAAAAUGUCUCCAAGCCAUUAAUAUUGUUAAAAACUGGGACGUCUACAAUACUGAAUACAGUUCUCAAAGCAAAGGAGUUGCAAUACUGAUAAAAAAAACAUACCAUUUGAGUACAUAUGCCAUGAUGAGGAUUGUAGUGGAGGUUACAUUGUGCUCUUCUGUCAUCUGUAUGGUGAACUGUACACUCUUGUUAACGUGUACAAGCAUAAGAAAGACAAAGUUGUCUUGAAUAGGCUGAAGGACUAUUUGAUGGCGAGAGCUGAGGGUGUGCUAGUGGUUGGAGGUGAUUUCAAUUCACUUUUAGAUCCCAGAGUAGAUCGCAAUCCUCCAAGGUCAAGAGAAUCACCAUCAAAAGUUUUAGAAGACUUUAUUGCAUCACUGAACCUCAGAGACACCUGGUCAAACAUACAUACUGAUAAUGAUACAGAGAGAUUUACAUUCAAAUAUCCUCGUGGUUUUUCCAGAAUAGACAUGUUUUUCCUGCAAAAUGCCACAAUAAAUCAAGUACUUAGCAUUACAGUUGAAAAAGGUUUUGAGGGACAAAAAAUGGAUCAUUUCCCUCUCGUCUUAAAACUCCCCACAAGGUUAAGGACAUAUGAAUACAAUCCUGACAGGUGCCAAGGAAAGAUUAGUCUUAAAGAAAUACUGAGUGCUAUAAAGUAUUUAACUGACAAAGAAGAACCCAGACCAAAUAUGAAUGAUGAGAAGGUCUACAAAAAAAAAUGCUGUACAAUGAAGAUUGACUACAAUAAAAUAUUAAAUACACUGAAGGUACCUAAAAAUUAUAAACCUUCAGGAGACAACAACAUGGAAUAUUUGAUAUUUUCAGAAAUUUUGGCCAAGCGCCUCUUGCCAUUCAGUUCAUGUGAAACUGAUAACUGUGCCACUGUGAACAUUGAGAGCCCACAGGAAAUCAAGUGGUCUUACCUGAAGACAAUAUUUGAUAAGAUAGAUUAUUGUUAUUAUAAAGAGAAAGACCCAAAACAGGCCCCGUUUGCCCCCCCACCAGACCUCCGCAUUCUGGAUCGUCUUCUUCCUAAAGUCCAAAACUCUACUGAGGAUCUCAGAGUUUUACAGCCUAACUGUCCACUAGCCAAUGCUAUCCUCAAUCUGGCAAAUAAACAGCUGGUUGAUAUGCUUCAGUUGUUCCAGAAUGAUUCAGGACUGAAGUUAAAUACUGUACUUCAUGUACUCAAACAAACACACACACACAAAUAAGUCACUUUGAGCCUAAAUAAUUGAAGAACUUUUAAAGGGCCUUUAACAGCAAUUAGAACAUUAAGCACAGGACAGGUUGAGAAGUUUUAUUCCCCCUCUACAGCAGCUACAUCACAAAUUGUGCUACAACCUCUCUAUAAACAUCAGAGGUACACAUCUAUUUUAUGUCCAGAUGAAAAAAAAACAAAAAACAAUACUUAUGCUGGCUUUUAUCUCUUAUGCAUUACUUUAUUAUAUUUAAUUAUGAUUGCUAUUAUGAUUUUGUUGAUAGUAGCACAGUGGGUAAUCACUGUCCAUCACUAGUCCGAAUUAAAAUAGAUUCAGAAAAUAUCAGGGAUUUCAGGCACUAUCUACAGUUACUUUGAUUUGCUUAGAUUGGUUUAGCUUUGCUUCACGAGCUGGGAAUAUUGUAUUAAUUUCUAAGUUGUUAGGGUGUAUUUGUACACGUAAAAUGAAACUUUUAUUUAAAAUGUUUAAAAUUUGUAUAGGAUAUAAGAUUUGUAAUUAAUUUUGUUGUUGAGUUUUGUAAAUUAUUACAGCAAUGGUGCAGUGCUUUGUGCAAUCACAUUAUAUAUACAUUAACAGUGUCUUUCUUUUUUUUGCCUUCUUUUUUUUUUGCCUUUGUCAAGAAUAAUGCUACAUUCAUGUUUACUGUGUUUAUGAGAUACUUAUAUUUGAAAAAAAAGGCAUCCUUAAUAUGUAAUAUUUCUUUCUUGGAGAUGUUUGGCUAUCCUAAUAGACAUUAUGGAAGUUUGUACAGAUGUGCAUCAUGUUUGCUUGGUUGUGUAUUAAUCUGUUACUUCCAUCCCAGCUUUAAUUGAAGACUUUCUGCUGCAAGGCAUUCACCACUAAGUAUUAUUUUAGAAGCUUUUACGGCAUCUCUGAAUCUUAGAGACACCAUGCCUUCACUUUACUGAUGAGGGCUUUACACAGUUUCACAACAAGUCAUUCCUGGAUAAACUUUAGACACAAUGGGAAAAUACAAACUACAGAGCUAUAGAGUUAAACUACAGAAAGUUUUGAUAAAUGUCCUCUUGUACUAAAAGAGCAAAUACAUUUAAAACAGAACAAAACAAAAAACUCUGGAGAGAGAUACAGACACAGAGUGAAAUAAAAAUGCCCACUGAUGAUAUCAUUAAAUCUACUGAAGUAACAGUUUCGAAGUAGGAAGUGAAACGUGUAUGUGGUGAACACAGACGAGAGGAGUGAUACACACAGUGAAACAUUCCAGUGCGGUUAUAGGAAAUAUAUUCGCUCUUGGAAUGCCGCACGACCAAUCAGAUUAGUGGAACUAACUGUUGUAUAAAGGUUCAUAAUCUAUCAGCAUACAUGCUUCUCUACUUCCUGUGUCUGUUAGCACAACAUUAUGGAAUAAAAACAAUUUCUGUAUAAUCAUCUUUGGCUACAUCUUUGCAUGAUUUAGGCAUGUCCAUACAUUCUCCAA
Ictalurus punctatus (channel catfish) is the source of this 9082-nucleotide long non-coding RNA. The record is from Ensembl. NCBI's taxonomy places the organism in Eukaryota, Metazoa, Chordata, Actinopteri, Siluriformes, Ictaluridae.